ACACUUACCUGGCAGGGAAGAUACCAUGAUCGUGAGUGUGGUCUUCCCAGGGUGAGGCUUAUCUAUUGUACUCCAGAUGUGCUGACCCCUGAAAUUUUCUCAAAUGUGGGAAACUCGACUGCAUAAUUAGUGGUAGUGGGGGAGUGCAUUCACACUCUCCCCUU
This is a small nuclear RNA of Suncus etruscus (white-toothed pygmy shrew), 164 nucleotides long. RefSeq annotates it as U1 spliceosomal RNA. The record is from RefSeq and is a predicted model, not a curated record. The transcript has a single exon. NCBI's taxonomy places the organism in Eukaryota, Metazoa, Chordata, Mammalia, Eulipotyphla, Soricidae.